Vombatus ursinus (common wombat) is the source of this 721-nucleotide long non-coding RNA. RefSeq lists it as uncharacterized. The record is from RefSeq and is a predicted model, not a curated record. The transcript is spliced from 3 exons. Lineage: Eukaryota; Metazoa; Chordata; Mammalia; Diprotodontia; Vombatidae.
GCUAAGGGACCUGACUUCCUUGGUUCCUUCAGCUGUGGCCCAGAUCUGGGGACAGGGAGCUCUUGUCCUGAGGAGACCUCAACGCGGGGGAGUCUCUGAGUCCAGAGAGGCAGCCUGGGGUAAAGAAUUGAAAGUUAUAGCCUUGGAGGAAGGACAACCGCAGGUUCAGGUCUUGUAUCGGAUAUUUAUUGGUUAUAGGACUCAGAGAAAACUGCUUAACCUCUCAGUGCCCCAGGUCAUGCCUUGAGGUUUUUUGAUGCACGGGCAAUGCUGGUCUAAUUAAUGGAAGGAGUUCCCUCGUGGAGGAUUCUCUCUACAUUGAUGAAAUCCCAGUUGAGGAUACUGGGACCCAGACAAGUGAAAUAACUCCUUCAAGGUCAUAAAGGCUUCUCUCUCUUGUGUUUGAUUGCUGGUCACGAAGAGGGCACUUCCCCAUGUGGGGCACGACUCCGGAUCAAAACCUAGUUUGAACAUGUCCAGACACACCUGAGUUUAUUUCCUUAAGUCAACUCCUCUAUUUGCUGCCAUGCAGAAGGGAAUGAAGCAGCCAUAUUGGAUGGAAUGAUGGCUUAUCUGCUAAUCAUGGCUUUAUGGUGUAGUUCAAUCCAGCGGGCAGAAUCCUGCCCAUCUGUGGGCCCACCCACCUAUAGAGAAUGACAGAAGAUUCCAAUAUUAUUAUUAUUAUUAUUUUUUUGACACAGACCUAUGAUUUCAUUUUUGU